This 355-nucleotide unclassified non-coding RNA is filed under the name uncultured fungus. RNAcentral describes it as "partial contains small subunit ribosomal RNA, internal transcribed spacer 1, and 5.8S ribosomal RNA". The stretch from base 1 to 73 matches the Rfam family "Eukaryotic small subunit ribosomal RNA", at positions 1759 to 1831 of the family's 1831-position model. Lineage: Eukaryota; Fungi. The record is from RNAcentral.
ACAAACUUGGUCAUUUAGAGGAAGUAAAAGUCGUAACAAGGUUUCCGUAGGUGAACCUGCGGAAGGAUCAUUAUUGAAUAAAUUUGGUUGGGUUGUUGCUGGCUCUUAGGAGCAUGUGCACGCUCAUUCCAUCUUUAACCACCUGUGCACCUUGUGUAGAUCUGAACAACUCUCGGGGAAACUCGGUUAGAGGAUUGCUGCGUGUAAAAGCCGGCUUUCCUUGCGUUCAGAUCUAUGUCUUUAUAUACUCCAUAAGAAUGUAUUAGAAUGUAAUUGAUAGGCGUCACAGCCUUUAAAAUCAAAUACAACUUUCAACAACGGAUCUCUUGGCUCUCGCAUCGAUGAAGAACGCAGC